Molecule: transfer RNA, 63 nt
Filed under: Heterotermes crinitus
Lineage: Eukaryota; Metazoa; Arthropoda; Insecta; Blattodea; Rhinotermitidae
Description: tRNA-Phe
Source: RNAcentral
ACUUGAAUAGCUUAUUUUAGAGCGCGACGCUGAAGAUGUCGAUGUGGUUUUGGCCUUUAAGUA